GACACACAGAGACACACGGACACACUCAGAGAGAGACACACACUCAGACACACAGAUCCGCCGUGUGAGUUUAGGACUGGAGCUCAUCUUCGGCGAGUCACUGUGGAGAUCCUCUCGCGUCGCUGCCCUGUGGAGCUGGAGCUGACGGAGACGGAGUGCCGAACCGAGAGAGGGGAGAGGAGAGAGAGAGGCAAGGCGAGAAACGAGAGAGAGAGAGAGAGAGGACGUGAGGAGAGAUUUGAAAGCAGACCCGUGUUAUUGGUGAGAGCGCUGGAGAGAGGAGGGGGGGGUGGAGAAUCCAGUACCCCAAUAACAGCGUUUCUCCGGUCUGCUGCCGAGCCGGAGACAGAGGCACAAACUCCGGAUUCAUCCGCACGUCCUCUGCCUGCGGGACAGCCGCGUCUCGUCGCGUCGCAUCGCCGGGAGCAGGUGGCCGGAGCUCCGGGCUCGGCGGCGGGACCAGGAGCCGCGUCGCUCCCCGGCCGCUCCACAUCCCCUGAGCAGAGAGACGGACCGGGGGAGAGAGGGAGGGAGGGCGACAGGAGGACAGGAGGAGGAGAUGGACAUUGAUUUCACCCUAGCAGAGCCCCGCGCGCCGCCAGCCCUCCUGGACGAGCAGGAAUCAGCAGCAGGGAGAUGACCGGCCACGCCGCCAUGAUCCGCAGCUCUGUGCUCUGCUGGCUGGGGCUGCUGCUGGCGGGGGGGGUGGGCGGGGCUUCGCUCCCGGCCGGUGUGCCGAGGAGGCGUGGCCUAGGAACGGGCUCACCCAUCGCGCGCGGCCCAGCGGAACUGACGGUCCGCACCCCGCCGCCUCCGGAGGGCGGACCGGGCCCAGAUGAGUCCGGAACCCCGGAGCCCGACGCCCCGCUGGGGAUGGGGGCGGCACGCGAUCCGGAGCGC
Molecule: long non-coding RNA, 900 nt
Filed under: Lepisosteus oculatus (spotted gar)
Lineage: Eukaryota; Metazoa; Chordata; Actinopteri; Semionotiformes; Lepisosteidae
Description: lncRNA (ENSLOCG00000022184.1)
Source: RNAcentral